Molecule: long non-coding RNA, 4516 nt
Organism: Carassius gibelio (silver crucian carp)
Lineage: Eukaryota; Metazoa; Chordata; Actinopteri; Cypriniformes; Cyprinidae
Exons: 3
Source: RefSeq, a predicted model, not a curated record
UUACUCUCCUUUUUAAUAAAUGUGCUUAUAAACCAAGGACAAGCUAUUUAUAGCUGUAUUUAUAAACUGCUUACUACUGACUAUUAAUAUUGGGACAAGGCUUUAUAAAGCAUGAACUGACUAUUUACUAAUGAGUGCAGUUAUUAUAAAGUGUUAUCAAUGAAUUUGCUAAUGUUAACAAAUUAGACAUUAUUUUACAGUGUUAUCAAAUCCUUAAAUGACUCAUAAGCAUUUGUGAAAGUUCUGCUUGCAUUACAGCUUAGUAUUGAUCUGUGAGCUGAACAGAUUUACUGUUACAUCUAUGAGAUUAUGUAAAUUCAAAUAAAUAUAAUGUCACAGGAUGUCAUAGGUCAGUAUCAAAUGAGUUUGAAAUUAUUAUUUGCAGCACAAAUAAGUUUUUUUUAGGAUUUUUAAAAAUCCCUAAAACUGACAGAAAAAGGUUAAGGCCUAAGCUAUUUCUAUGUGAGUGGCUAAAUUUAUUUUUGUUUUUAUAAUUGUAAUACACAAACUAUGAAAUUAUACAAAAUGUAUAAAAAGGUAAAUAAAUAAAUACGCACACAUUAAAAAAGCAGCCAAGUCGAAUGAGUUUCCUUUUUUAUAUAGAUUAAAAUUGAAGACAGAAGCAAGUGGUAAAUGUGGUCACUUUAAUAUUCAAAUCCAGUAGAUCCAGUUUAUGUUCACGUGGCUGUUUUCGUUUAUAUUCGCCAAGCUAUUAUGUAUUUUGAAAUAAUCUUGUCCGUGAUGUGUUCGUUCGUACGACGAAAGCCAGAAUCCUGCAGCUCCAGAGAUAUGUUAUUCUGCCAGUCGCGCUUUCAAAUAGUCUUGCACACUUAAACAGGUCACAAACACCUGCAUUUAGCUCUUGUGGUGUUACAAUGGGUUUAUUGUGUGCAUUUGUGGUAAUAUUUUAUUUAAAAAAGCUCUUAAACAAGAAUAAAUUCGUUUGUUUUGAGCUCGACACUGUACGCGCUGAUCGGAGGCGUGAUUUCAGAUAGGCAGCCACAAAUAUUUCAUUUUCACACAAACAGUUCAAAAACAUCUGAAUUUAGCUCUUGGUGUGUUCUAAUUGGUUGAUUGUGUGAUAUCGCUGUAAUAAUUUAUUUUUAAAAGCUUUAAAACAGGAAUAAAUUCGUUUUUUCUGAGCUCUUUACUCCAGACGCUCGUGGUCACAGCGGUGAUUCAUCUCUCCUAUUUCUCACGUAUCUCUGGCCAGAAAUAAUUUAUCCAUGAGCCCUGAACCGGUAAUAAUCAGAUAUGUUGGUUUAGCUUGUCAGUGUGAAUUAAAUCUAAGUAUUUAUUUGUAUUUUUAACCGAUUUAAAAGUGAAAGUAAAAGUCCGGGAAUUGAACCUGUAGGGGCGCUAUUUCUCUCAGACAAUGGAAGUCUGAAGCACAUAUACUCAAACUGAGGGACAGAGUGAGAUGAGAUGUCUGACAGUUUUUUAAUUUUCUGUUACCCGUGUUGUAAAGUCGUGAAACUAUCCAUAUUUACUCAGAAUGACUUUUUUUCUGUACGAAAAAAGGUUUUGAAGUGUUUGGAAUUUAAAAAUGCAGGAAAAUUAAUAAUUCCAUUUUUACUGUCAUUUAAAAAAAUCACCACGACAAAACCGUUUAAGCUAUCCAAAAUCCAUUGGCAAUUUAAGUUGUUUAAAAUAUUUUGGCAUCAUGUAGACAAAGUUUGGUGUGUAUAGUGUUACUCUCCUCUGAGCAGUAUGCAUUAAUUCACAGCUAAAUGUAAAAAAAAAUCCACAUUCAAAUCAAAAUAGCUGACUUCCUGUUGAUCGUAGCUGAUGACUGUGAAUUAGAAAGUUGUCCGUCUUGAUAAGAAAAAUUUUUGUACCGAGUUUGGUGUCUGUACCUAAAACUAACCCCGCCACUUUUGACAAAAGGUGGCGCUAUAGAGUGCCUCUUCCACGCCCUCUUAUGAACUUUUGCCAGUGUCUAGUUAUCAUAAAUACUGAUAUGUGUUCUGAGUUUGAUGAAAUUCUAAGCAUGUUAUAUGCCUCAAAAUCACCUGAGAAUUAUUCCAGUUUAACUUGUUGCCACGGCAACAAUAUUUUUAGAUAUCAAUAUCCCCCCAGCAGAUUUAUAUCGGCUGUGUUUUAACAUUAUUCUGAUGAAGUUUGAAGCAAAUCGAGUAAAAAUAAGAUGCUGAAUUCAAAUCAUUUUGAAAAUGACACACUUCCUGCUGCCAGUUGGUGGCGCUAUAACUUUGACUCCUAAUAGUCACAUAUAUGCGAUCGACAUCAUACAACGAAUAAUCUGAUGCAGUUUGAUUAAAAUCAGGAAAUGUAUGUGGAUGGUAUUAGACACUUCCUGUUUCUCAUUUCUCGCCAUAAUUUCAACACCUCGCCACGAGCAAACCGUUCGAGAUAUCAAAAAUCCCCUGGCAAUUUUUCAUCCCCAAUGUCUUGAGAUCAUGUUGACCGAAUUUGGUGGCAAUCGGCAAAAAAACCUAUGACAAGUAUUUCAAAUUCCAGAGCAUGCGCUUUUUACAUAACUCUAAAUAGCUGACUUCCUGUUGGGCGGAGCCGAAUGACAUGCAGUACGAAAGUUGUUCAGCACGAUGAGAUCUAUAUGUGUACUGAGUUUCAUAUUAAUACGAGCAAGUAUGUGUGAGCUAUACAUCAACAUUUAUGACUGUGUUCCAGGGGGCGCCAUAGAGCCCCUGUGCCACGCCCGGGUCCCAGCCUCUGCAGGCUCCUAAAGGCCACAGAUUCCAAAGUGUGCGCAAAUUUUCAAGAGUUUUUGAGUAUGUUAAGGACCCCAAAAGCCCCCACAACUUUGACGAAAAAUAUGAAUACUAAACCCUAAAUAUCCAACUUCCUGUUGGGCGGAGCCUAUGACAUGCAGUACAAAAGUUGUUUGGUUUGAUGAGAUCUACAUGUGUACCGAGUUUCGUGUGUCUACGUGCAAGUAUGUAUGAUAUAUGGCCCUCAGUAUUCCAGGGGGCGCUGUAGAGCCCCUGUGCCACGCCCGUGUAUCAGUCUCUGCCCGGCCCUAAUGGCCGCAGGUUCCAAUGUGUGUGCCAAUUUUCAAGACUUUUUAAGCAUGUUAAGGGCCCCAAAAGCCCCCGAAACCUUGAAGAAAAAUAAUAAUAAAUAUAGCUGCAAGCAGCGAUGGCGGGCUCAAGCCACCAAUGCCAUCACCACCCCGGUGGCAUCAGGUAAACUGUGCCCAGCGGGCACAUGCAUUCACAAUAUCCCUCUGGCAGUGAGGUUUUAAAGGAUAGAGGGGAGCGUAGAGGGGAGCGUGCAUUUGCAGUGGCUGGGCCACGACUCUGGAAUACCCUGCCUUUAGAGAUCAGACUGGCCCCUUCCUUGUCUAUUUUUAAAUCUUUGCUAAAAACUUUUUUAUUUUCCUUAGUGUACUGACUACUGUGUUAUGCUACAUUUUGAAAUGGGUGGUUUUAAAUUUUUUGUCUGGUCUAUUUUUAUGUAUGUGUAAUAUUCUUGCUCUUAUGUUAAAGCACUUUGGUCAGCCAGGAGGCUGUUGUAAAUGCGCUAUACAAAUAAAUUGAACUUGAACUAGAACUUGAACUUGAUAUGGCAGUUAAAGGGUUAAUCCGAAUCAUCUAGACUUUAAAAUCACAUUCACAGAACAAUAUAUAUAUAUAUAUAUAUAUAUAUAUAUAACUUUAGUAACACUUUACAAUAAGAUUUCAUUUAUAAACAUUAUGUUAACAUGAACAAUAUUUAUAUAGCAUUCAUUCAUGUCAGUUAAUAUUCCAAACUUAAACAUUAAAACAUUGUUUUAUUGUGUUUUUUUUCCAAGCACAUUUUACCAAUUCCAAACCAUAUCAAUCUUAAUAACUACCAUUAUUUUUUAUUUAAUCAUUUAUGAGUGCUAUACAAUAGUCCAGGAAAGCUGGAAGAGAAAAACAGGUCAAGAAGAACUGACAAAAAGAAUUACAAAAUAAUUAGGAAUUAAUGUGAAGAUUAAUUUUUAGUCAAUUCUGCAAGACAGACUUUCAGGAAAGGAGGUGGAAUAAAAAUGAGCUCCUAAAUCUUAAUCCCGGAUUCUGGAAGAUAUAUUCCUCAAACCAUCGGACAAGAGGAGGUGGUGCUGGUCCUUCACGAGUCACUCUAAUCUGUUCAUAAAGCCUAUAUAUAAAGUCUUAAUAUAUAGUAUUUCACAAUACUUCAUGGUAUUCUAAUUAAAUCAUUUUUUGGAAUCUUAGAUCUCUCAGAACCUGACACAUUGUAAUUCUGAGACUCCAGGAAAGUGGCAGUUCUGUAAAAUGUUGGCGCUGGAGACUAAAUGCUCCCUGAUAGUUUCACACCUAAUUCAAUUAACACACACACACACACACACACACACACACACACACACACACACAUCACCCACGGUGACAGAGGGACAGAGUGACAUCAGAUGUAUGAUAGUUUUUUUAAUUUUCUGUCAUCCAUAUAGUGUUGUAUAGUCAUGAAACUAUGCAUAUUUCCUCAGAAUGACUUGUCUUCUAUGUGUACAAUUUUUAAAAGUGUUUAGAAGCUGCACUUUAAAACAAUAAAAGAC